This 417-nucleotide ribosomal RNA is filed under the name Triticum aestivum (bread wheat). Its description in RNAcentral is "partial small subunit ribosomal RNA". Lineage: Eukaryota; Viridiplantae; Streptophyta; Magnoliopsida; Poales; Poaceae. The record is from RNAcentral.
AUGUCCAAAAAAGUUCUGAGCGCAAAUUUUUACUUGAGCUCACCGUCCAUCUCUAAGUACAUGACGCCCGUACACGGAUGGUACUCCACCGAUGUGACAGCCCAGACGAGCUUUACCCGGUGCAUCCCUCCGGCGCCACCACCACCCGUCGUCCCGCCACCUUCGCUGCUAGUGUCGAUCUUUGGCACGCCCGCCUCGGUCAUCCCAACUCCACCGUUAUGCGUCAGAUUCUUCAGAGUUUUUCUUUCUCAUGUAAUAAGGUUGACGACCACUCUUGUGAGGCUUGCCGUCUUGGCAAGCACGUUCAUCUUCCCUUUAGCGAGUCUACAAAUAUUUCCACCUUUCCGUUUCAGUUAUUGCAUAGUGAUGUUUGGACGUCCACGGCUGCGAGCAACACGGGCUACUUAUACUAUUUAG